RNAcentral lists this ribosomal RNA (425 nucleotides) under uncultured bacterium. Its description in RNAcentral is "partial 16S ribosomal RNA". It matches the Rfam family "Bacterial small subunit ribosomal RNA", at positions 354 to 796 of the family's 1533-position model. The record is from RNAcentral.
GUGGGGAAUAUUGGACAAUGGGCGCAAGCCUGAUCCAGCCAUGCCGCGUGAGUGAUGAAGGCCUUAGGGUUGUAAAGCUCUUUUGUCCGGGAAGAUAAUGACUGUACCGGAAGAAUAAGCCCCGACUAACUUCGUGCCAGCAGCCGCGGUAAUACGAAGGGGGCUAGCGUUGUUCGGAAUCACUGGGCGUAAAGCGCACGUAGGCGGACCAUUAAGUCAGGGGUGAAAGCCUGGAGCUCAACUCCAGAACUGCCUUUGAUACUGAUGGUCUCGAGUAUGGAAGAGGUUGGUGGAACUGCGAGUGUAGAGGUGAAAUUCGUAGAUAUUCGCAAGAACACCGGUGGCGAAGGCGGCCAACUGGUCCAUUACUGACGCUGAGGUGCGAAAGCGUGGGGAGCAAACAGGAUUAGAAACCCCUGUAGUCC